CAAAACAACGAUAACCCGAAAUAGAUUUAAAUCAUAUGAAUUAUCAAAGAGGGGAAAUUAUAAAUGGUUCAAAGAUAACAAAUUUAUUUUGGUGGUUUUCCACGCGAAAAAGUUCAAAAAUUGAUUCGAAUUCAUUAUUUGUUGCAAUUUCUACAAAGUUCUAAACAGUUCCUAUACAAUUAAUUAAGGUUUUUAGUUGAGAUGAAAAAAGUUAAUGGCACGAGAGGGAUUCGAACCCACGACCUUCGGCUAGAUACGCCGCACCUCUACCACCUGAGCUAUAAUUGGUCAAGCGGACCACGAAAUUAGUGAAUAGUUCCUAUAGUUCUAGAAGAAAAAUGGAAAAGCGGCAUGAUCAGAGGUGACAUUUCAAAAGAAGUCAGGUCAUAAAUGGCGACUGGACCAAAAGCCCUUUCCAAGACAACAACCCCAAACAAUCAAGGAAAACUCAAGAUUGGCUACUACAUAAUGCACCUAGACACCACCCCAAUCGCCUGAUUAACCCUAUUGAGUUCUUGUGGGAUCGUUUGGAUCCCCGGUCGUGACAAAAAACUAGUUAUAUCAAUGAGAAACAGUUUAUUAGCGGUAAUAAAAAGUAAGGAUGGACCUUGAGAUUAAUGAGAUAAAAUUUAGAUAAGUGUUAGUAAAUAAACAA
This is a long non-coding RNA of Cimex lectularius (bed bug), 655 nucleotides long. RefSeq lists it as uncharacterized. The record is from RefSeq and is a predicted model, not a curated record. The transcript is spliced from 3 exons. Lineage: Eukaryota; Metazoa; Arthropoda; Insecta; Hemiptera; Cimicidae.